CAAAAAUCACAGAAUCACGUGACCACACAAUGCGAACAUCGAACACAUUCCACAAAGAUUUUCUUUCGUCUUCGACAGAAAUAUCAAAUACUUUCACUUCUUUUCAAACUGACAAUCGUUUCCUUUCACAAUAUCACCUUCUUCCUGCUUCUUUUAUACUUUUCGAGACUAAUCGAAAUCUAUCGAAUAUCGAUGUAUAUCGAUUCUAUCGUAUAUUAAUAAAACAAUUUUUUUCAUCGAAUUAACAAUUUUCUAAAGAAAAAUACAAAUUCGUCUAACAAAUUGGCAAUAUAAUUAACGCCAUAAUAAUUUAAUUAAUUUAAAAUUAAUUAUCAAAAUAUUUUCACUAGUACAAUCGAUUUGUAUUCGAGUAAUCGAUGCACUCCGUCCGUUUCCGCGAAAGUAGCGAACUCUAUAUCGAUUCCGCUUGCAUUCGAAACAAUAGUACAUAAACGAGAAUCGUCCAUGUUUGUUAGCGUCGUCGCGACAACAGACUUGUGUGUUUCGAAAAAGGCGAACGAAGCCAACUGUGCGGUCCGUUUACCGAGAGCUCCGUAUUCCCCAGUGUAUACUAAAACCAUCGAUCGCGUUUUGCAUGAAUAAUUUCGCGGAGGGACACGAGAAAAGAGGACCGUGGUCGUCUGGCGACGAAAAGAACGAAGAUCGAAGAGAAAUUUCGGGAAGGUAUCGGUGAAAUAGAAGGGGAAUUGGAAGUAGUAAAGUCUGUGUCGUUCGGCAUUCAGAAUGCAGAAAAGGAGCGAGGAAAGAGGAGAAUGUAGGGUGGCUCGGCAGUUUGCGUGCAUGUGUUUCUCGUUCGUCCCUAUGCACAAGGAGAGAAGAAGAGUCCAGAGAACGCGAGUCGACCAUAGAGGAAAAGGAAGAAUUAUCGAAGCGUGCCCGUGGUCGGACAGAGAUAAUCGUGCCUAUACCGGCUACGGAUAGAGUGAAACGGAAGAAAAGGAGAACGUGAAACGGUUCGCCGAGGAGGCUGGUCAAUGGUAGGCCGGCUAUCGGAACACCCUUCUCGAAAACAAAGCCGGAUCUCACCUUGAUUUAUCGCUGAGUGCUGCCGCGGUGCUGUGUGUUCUGCUCCAGACCAGGCUGCAGCCGGGGUGAAUUCCCCGGCGAAAAUUAAUCCAUUAUUAGGUAAACGAAGACGGAAUAACUGCGAUUACGGAGUUCAGAAAUCACCACUCUUCUCUACACGAAACCUCGACGCUUCUUCCGCGUAUUUUGUAUCUUUUUUCUGCCUAGUUGCCCGCCACCAGACGGCUAACCUCGGUCCGUUGGAGUUCUGUGUACACACCAUAUACACGACCCGCCACUAAAUCAGCUCCGUAAACGUAUGCACGGUAACGUGUGUCACGACGAGCAGCUCGAAGCUUGCACACGGUAGCAGAUCACACAAUGCGCGUCUUCCUUACGUUCAAGUCAUUCCCGUCAACGUCAACGACUCACAAAGGUACCGGAUACACGAUUUCUCCAGAUAUUUUCCUUCGUUCUCGUUCGACAAGCACGACGAUACGCGACGCGGCAUAAACGAUACACGUGCGAGUCGUCGUAACGAGAGACGAACUACCCCUAACAUCGGCCGAGAACGUACUGACAUGAAGGCAACCGAGGAAACACGAAAGCGAAGCUCCGACUGAAUCGUUGACGCGAGUGGGGGAAACCUUUCGGCCGACUUCGGAAUACUUCGGCGCGUCUUCCCCCUCUUCCUUCCAAUGAAUACUUUACACGAGUGUAGGAUUCUCCCGUUCUCUACGUACACGCUAAGAGUCCCGAUGUGUAUUCGGAUUCUGUUCUCCUCUCUUUCCUUUUUUACCUCAUUUCCACUCCUCCUCUUCUCUCUUUCAUCUUCUCCCAAUAGAUACUCCCUCCUCUCUACCACUGUUCGCGCGAGUCUCGUACAUGCACACCUGUUCACUGUGCAUACGUGUGUGCACGCGACGCGUACCUUAUAUACCCUGUUCGCGGCAGUCUCCACACGCGCGAUGACGUCACGCUGGGCGCCGUGGCGUGGAUAACGAGAUGGCCCGAGUCUUCCUCGGGACCCUCGAUCGCUAAUUAUCGUCCUAGAGGUUUCGCCUCGUUCCGUGACCGGUUUGCUCUUCCUUUUUCUCUUCCUUCCCGUGGGCCUGCUGCCCACCGGACGGAGAAAUCGUGCCCGCUUCGAGAAGAGAAGGCACCACCGGCAGCCACCCUCUCCCCGACGAUUUUCGUUUCGCCGCUCGUUUCCCGGUGGCAUUAAUGAUGUCUCGUGUAGGUACAGUCACGACCGGUUCCCUCCAGACCUACCUCCUAUCAAGAUCAAGUAUCUUCGACUAGCCUCUUCGACUUCUCGGAGAGGACACGCCGUGAGGGGCAGCCGAACAAUUCCCAUCUAGGGUUUCACGCGGUGUGCAACACACGUCGUCCUGGUCCACACGCGAUCCCCUUCGACUCUUCGCCGAGGAAGCGAAGUUGAAAGGUAGCGUUUUAGGAGGUUGGAGGGGGAGGGGUUCGAAAUUCCACGAGCGUGGACCGUGCGAGUGCAAAAAUGAGCAUCGCGUCCAACGUAUAAAUAACGAAACACAUAGCCUCGUUGUAGGAGGCUGCGACGAGGGUUUGUGCAAUAAAUAACGACCUAGCGGAGCACACCUGCAGCGACAAGGCGUGUCCGAUGGACGAUGAAGUUUAACGUCCCUCCCUCGUUUAUUUCUCUGCCCAAAGCUAUUGCAAGACGCGACACCAAUAAAAUGCUAAUUCGCCCCUCCUCGUUACGAAUAUACGCACCCCUCUAUCUUGUGUUUUUUAACGCGAUCCCUGGAACGAGCUGGCUAUACACGCUACUAUCUAUUAUCAUUCAUAUCGCGUAUUAUCGUGUAUUAUCGUUCAUACCGUGUUUACCGAUUGCUAUAUUAUAAUAUCAGUGAGUUAAAUAAAGCAUGUUUCGUAGCCUUCAUUCUUUAGUAUAUUUUUUUUAUUUAAAAUUACUCUAUACGUAAAAAUGAUAAUUUUUGAAAGUAUUUGUUUAGUAAGUAAUUUAUAGACAUUUUUGAGAUCAUAAUUGAAAUUAAUUCUCUUUUAGAAUUUUAUAAACUCGUCAAUCACGAUUUAACAGAUGAUCCCUUAAAAUGCAAUAUACUUGACAAAGCCAAUUGGACGCACGCAAUUUCUUAUUAUUAUCUAAUGAAUGCAACACAUUCUCCUCGGUUCAUUUGAAUAAUCUAAAUACAGCCUACGAUCUCAACAUCUGUUUCUGGCAUAACUAAUCUCUCAAUCCGCCAAAACCCACGUAUAUUUAACAAUCAAUGAUUUCAAUUGUCAUAAUAUAACAAGUGUUUUAAAUCUAAAACAAUUCCAGAAAAUUUCACGUAUCUUUCACGUACAAUCCCAAUCAAUUUUUCUAUUAAAUCAAUUUCUUCGAUUUCCAUUUCAAUUCAUUUAUUUCAAUUAAUAAUCUGCGAAAAGGAAAUCAAUUUAACUUGAUAACUUUAUAAAUCUUACGAUUUAGGAACGGACUUCUGGCAAAUGUUUCCCUCUUGUAAACGUGUCCUCGGCGUCUCCUCAGCGCGGAAGGGAAGCUGUGCAGCCCUCGGGCCACGGACACUUUCCCUCACCGCUCCCGGAAUAGCUCGGGAAAGCGAAGGGUAGGUUUUUUUCUUCCCGCAGCCAGGCAACGGGUGCAUAGGAACGACGUAGGAUUGGUUCUGAUUAUGAUCUCGCGUCACCCCAACGUAAGGAGCGCGACAAUGACGAUGACUGCAAUUCCGCGUACGCGCAAGGUGGUCCAUUAUGAUCUUCCAGCUGGAUUGAGCGACAAAAUAGUGGAGAUGAGGAGUUGGAGGAAUCGUUCUAAGGAGCUCGUCGAAUGUUUUAAGAAAUCGUGCGUUUGUGUGGGGGAGGAAAGUCUCGUUUGGUCUCGUUUCAUCCAUUCCUUCGUGUGCGUGUGUGUGAGUAUACUUUUGAAUGUAAGUCGUUGAAAUUUUAAAAAAAUCUUUUAAUUUUUCUUAGCCAAAUAUAUAUUUGUUUAUAUACACGA
Molecule: long non-coding RNA, 4024 nt
Organism: Apis mellifera (honey bee)
Lineage: Eukaryota; Metazoa; Arthropoda; Insecta; Hymenoptera; Apidae
Exons: 2
Source: RefSeq, a predicted model, not a curated record